GUUAUUUAAUGGGAAUAUAUCCUGAGGAUAUAUGCUUACUUGCAAAUGCUUUUAUGUGUAGUCACUGUAAAUUCAGGAGUCAUGAAUCUGGUACUAAUUUUUUCCUUUCAAGCUCUUGGAAUACCCUUUCAUGCCAAAUUACACGGCGAUGACUUGAUUGUAACUCCUUUUGCCCAGGUCCUUGCCAGCUUGCGAAGUGUGAGAAACAACUUCACUAUACUGACAAACCUUCAUGGUACAUCUAACAAGAGGUCCCCAGCUGCUAGUCAGCCUUCUGUCUCCAGAGUCAACCCACAAGGACAGUGCAUCCACUUUUCUUGGUGUGUUGAGAGCUGCAGAGAGGAAGGGCCACCUUGAAGGAACAUCAUGGAGUUCUGUUGAACUGAAAUUCUUCUUCACACAAAAUGCAACCAGUUCUAUGAUAUUUGUUAAAAUCCAAAUAAUGUUUUCUCCUAAAUCUGUUCCCUACUAUUGUUAGCAGUAGAUUUGAGAAAAACCACAGGAGAAACAAUUAAGAUGAACUCACACUGAGAUCACCUAACACCUGACACCUAACAAUUCCUCACACGCUUUUCUAUUUCCAGCAGCACUUCAUACUUAAAAUCUUUCUCACUUGGUUGUUGUGUUUUCUUUCUGGUAUCCUGAUCAUAAGUAUAACAGAAGUAUUACAAAAGCUUAGCUUCUAAAAGAAGGGAACAAAAGCAGCAGAUUCUAUUGGCUCAUUGGCUUCUGAAGUAUUUGUGGUGCACGCUUUUUAAAAUAUUUUUAUAAGAGAAAGAUUGAGAACGAGAAAAAAAAGUGAAAGAAAGAUAUUAAGUAAAGGUGAGUUUACUCUAGAGCCCCGUAAUAUGAAAUAUAAAGAAGUAAGUAGUACUCUAUGGACUUCAAAAACCUGGUGUGCUGCAUGUACUAUUUCCUUUAGAACUUUUAUAAAAAGAAACAAAAUAGGAUGUUUUAACAUAUAACUCGUGUUACAUACUUGGAGAUCAAAGGAGGUAGUUUUGAAACUCCAAUCAUUUCAUCAUAUUGGCCUACCAGUGAGGCAAUAUUGCUCACAUUUCUGUUAGCCAAAUUUACAUCAAUUUGAUUAUUUAGACUAUGUUUUCUUUUUCUUGUAAUAAAUACUGACAAACAUU
This 1136-nucleotide small RNA is filed under the name Pongo abelii (Sumatran orangutan). RNAcentral's name for it is "processed transcript". Lineage: Eukaryota; Metazoa; Chordata; Mammalia; Primates; Hominidae. The record is from RNAcentral.